GACGAACGCUGGCGGCGUGCUUAACACAUGCAAGUCGAACGGAAAGGCCCUGCUUUUGUGGGGUGCUCGAGUGGCGAACGGGUGAGUAACACGUGAGUAACCUGCCCUUGACUUUGGGAUAACUUCAGGAAACUGGGGCUAAUACCGGAUAGGAGAUCCUGCUGCAUGGUGGGGGUUGGAAAGUUUCGGCGGUUGGGGAUGGACUCGCGGCCUAUCAGCUUGUUGGUGGGGUAGUGGCUUACCAAGGCUUUGACGGGUAGCCGGCCUGAGAGGGUGACCGGCCACAUUGGGACUGAGAGACGGACCAGACUCCUACGGGAGGCAGCAGUGGGGAAUAUUGCACAAUGAGCGGAAGCCUGAUGCAGCAACGCCGCGUGCGUGAUGACGGCCUGCGGGGUGUAAACCGCUUUCGCCUGUGACGAAGCGUGAGUGACGGUAAUGGGUAAAGAAGCACCGGCUAACUACGUG
This 468-nucleotide ribosomal RNA is filed under the name uncultured bacterium. RNAcentral describes it as "partial 16S ribosomal RNA". It matches the Rfam family "Bacterial small subunit ribosomal RNA", at positions 28 to 507 of the family's 1533-position model. The record is from RNAcentral.